AGCUUUGUGCAGUGGCAGUAUCGUAGCCAAUGAGGUUUAUCCGAGGCGUGAUUAUUGCUAAUUGAAAACUUUUCCCAAAGUAAAAUAUUGUCAUACUUCAUAACUUGGCUGGCUUACAUGGUUAAGU
This 127-nucleotide small nuclear RNA is filed under the name Panthera leo (lion). RNAcentral's name for it is "U4 spliceosomal RNA (ENSPLOG00000007331.1)". It matches the Rfam family "U4 spliceosomal RNA". Rfam says of the family: U4 small nuclear RNA (U4 snRNA) is a component of the major U2-dependent spliceosome. The structure of U4 snRNA from yeast and human has been reported. U4 snRNA presents a k-turn RNA motif in the 5p-SL related to recognition of Snu13 protein. The record is from Rfam by way of RNAcentral. Lineage: Eukaryota; Metazoa; Chordata; Mammalia; Carnivora; Felidae.